UAUGGUAAUUGUUUGCCCGAAGAAGAGGUAAAACGUAGGUCACAAGCGUUGUCCGGAAUUACUGGGUGUAAAGGGAGCGCAGGCGGGAAGACAAGUUGGAAGUGAAAUCCAUGGGCUCAACCCAUGAACUGCUUUCAAAACUGUUUUUCUUGAGUAGUGCAGAGGUAGGCGGAAUUCCCGGUGUAGCGGUGGAAUGCGUAGAUAUCGGGAGGAACACCAGUGGCGAAGGCGGCCUACUGGGCACCAACUGACGCUGAGGCUCGAAAGUGUGGGUAGCAAACAGG
Molecule: ribosomal RNA, 284 nt
Filed under: Faecalibacterium prausnitzii
Lineage: Bacteria; Bacillati; Bacillota; Clostridia; Eubacteriales; Oscillospiraceae
Description: partial 16S ribosomal RNA
Rfam family: Bacterial small subunit ribosomal RNA
Source: RNAcentral